UUAUAUUUAGAAUUUAAUUUUUUAGUUAAAAAGUUAAAAUAAAUUAGAAAGACGAGAAGACCCUAUAGAGUUUUAUAGAUAAAAUUAAUUGAGAUUAUUUGUAAAGGUUAAAAUUAAAAUUAAUUUAUUUAUUUUGUUGGGGUGACAGAAAAAUAUGAAAAACUUUUUAUAUGUUUAAAACAUUAAUAAGUGGUUAAAUGAUCCAGUAUUAUUGAUUAUAAGAAAAAAUUACCUUAGGGAUAACAGCGUAAUUUUUUUUUUUAGUUCACAUAAAAAAAAAAGUUUGCGACCUCGAUGUUGGAUUAAGAUAAAAUUUAAAUGCAGAAG
RNAcentral lists this ribosomal RNA (327 nucleotides) under Sesamia nonagrioides (Mediterranean corn borer). RNAcentral's name for it is "partial 16S ribosomal RNA". Lineage: Eukaryota; Metazoa; Arthropoda; Insecta; Lepidoptera; Noctuidae. The record is from RNAcentral.